RNAcentral lists this ribosomal RNA (142 nucleotides) under uncultured eukaryote. RNAcentral's name for it is "partial 18S ribosomal RNA". It matches the Rfam family "Eukaryotic small subunit ribosomal RNA", at positions 1299 to 1458 of the family's 1831-position model. The record is from RNAcentral.
UGGUGGAGUGAUUUGUCUGGUUAUUCCGUUUACGAACGAGACCCCUGCCUGCUAAAUAGCCCAGCCAGUGAAUUCUCACUAGCUGUAGGCUUCUUAGAGGGACGUGCAUUCUAUUAGAUGCAGGAAGAUAGGGGCAAUAACA